GAGGGAGAAGAAGGUGUGGCAAAUGCAGCAGCAGAAGGAGGUACUGGAGUUGGAAGCCGACACAUCUCAGAGGGUGGCUACGUGUGCCUUCGCUCGGGGAUAUCUUUCAGACCUAGUGCACUCUGUCUUCUUCUGUUUGACCGACAGCAGCUAUUUCUAAAAACCCAUGUACUCAAUCAUACGGGAUGUCUUAAAGGCCAGGAAGAGAGAAUUUGAGAAGCUGGAGGCUGCUAAUCUCGUUGAUGGACUGUAGAUGCCAACACUGUUGUGCAACUGUAAAUACAUAUGGGAGUUGUGUGGAGUGCUGAUGGGUGAAUGCCUUGUAAACCUGUGAUUGAGCUUGAAAAUACAAGUGUCUCUUCCUUUUUUUAUAGUGAAAUCGAAUAAUGAUGUCAAGGUGUUGUAAAACGAGAAGUUAUCUUACGUAUUCAAAGAGUAAACCAAAUAGAUGGUUUAUCUGGUUAUUCCGUCUGCCGACAACCCUGGUUGGCAGUUAUAAUUUGUCUACUAGUAACCCUCUACCCAUGGAAAUAUUACUACCCAAUAGAAUUGAUAAUCUACCCACAUUCCAUUCCAUGUAAUGUCUAGAUCACAUCUAUCCUAGAAAAAGACUAGAACAUGUAGAAGUAGGGUUUAUAUUACUGUAAACAAGCUAGACAGCUUUCUUACACACUUAUGACUAAGCUUCACUAGGCUGUGUUACUUUCAUGUAAACUGCUAUUACUACUGUCAUUCGCAAUAUAUACAGUUACUAUAUAGUGCAACGACAUUUUAUUUCGUCUUCAAAAAACCUGCUACAUCACUAGAUAAAUGUAGUAUUGCGUGGCAUGCACCAUGCAGCAAGUUUCAUUUUAUUAUUUUUCCUUCAUCUGUCUUAUUAUUUAGAAUUUGCCAGUGUGCGCCAUGGUUUUAAAAUGCGUUUUAAAACUGGUGCAUUGUAUGUUUACUUACUUACAUUACUUAAUACACUGCAGACGUGUUCUCUACACAUGAGGUUAAGCUGGUCACUUAUGAGCAACCAUAGUGAGAAAACUACGCACCUAUUACCAGGAAUGAAUAAUGACAGACUGUCAUUAUUCGCUCCUGCUAUUACUACACGCAUUCUGACAGAUUAAGCUGAGCUUAAGGUGACACGUGACUUCAUUUCCAUCA
RNAcentral lists this long non-coding RNA (1152 nucleotides) under Priapulus caudatus. RNAcentral describes it as "uncharacterized LOC106815718, transcript variant X1". Lineage: Eukaryota; Metazoa; Priapulida; Priapulimorpha; Priapulimorphida; Priapulidae. The record is from RNAcentral.